RNAcentral lists this ribosomal RNA (1149 nucleotides) under human gut metagenome. RNAcentral describes it as "bacterial LSU rRNA". It matches the Rfam family "Bacterial large subunit ribosomal RNA", at positions 827 to 2003 of the family's 2925-position model. The record is from RNAcentral.
UUCCAAUCGAACCCGGAGAUAGCUGGUUCUCCUCGAAAUAGCUUUAGGGCUAGCCUCGAUACAGAUUUGCGGAGGUAGAGCACUGAAUUUCCUAGGGGGCGUCAAAGCCUACCGAAGAAUAUCAAACUCCGAAUGCCGCGUAAUCGAUUAUCGGGAGUCAGACUGCACGAGAUAAGUUGGGCGGUCAAAAGGGAAAGAGCCCAGACCUUCAGUUAAGGUCCCCAAGUGCGCGUUAAGUGGAAAAGGAUGUGGGAUUUCGAAGACAACCAGGAUGUUGGCUCAGAAGCAGCCAUCCAUUCAAAGAGUGCGUAAUAGCUCACUGGUCGAGAGGUCCUGCGCCGAAAAUGUCCGGGGCUGAAACGCGCCACCGAAACUAAGGAACCGAAAGGUUGGUAGAGGAGCAUUGCAUGCGGGAAGAAGCAGUACCGUAAGGAGCUGUGGACUGCAUGGAAGAGAGAAUGCCGGAAUGAGUAGCGAGAAUAAGGUGGGAAUCCUUAUGGCCGAAUAUCCAAGGUUUCCAGAGUAAAGCUGAUCUGCUCUGGGUAAGUCGGGGCCUAAGGUAAGGCUGAGAAGCGUAGCCGAUGGACAACAGGUUGAGAUUCCUGUACCGCGUAUCAUCAGAACUGUGGGGACACAGAAGGACAGCACAUCCCGGGAAUGGAAAGACCGGGGCAAGCAGGGUAGGAGUUAAGCUGGCAAAUCCGCUUAACAAUCCGAAGCUGUGAUGCGGAGCGAAUUUAAGUAGUGAAGUGUGCGAUUCCGGCUGUCAAGAAAAGCCGCUAUUGUGUGAUACGUGCCCGUACCGUAAACCGACACAGGUAGAUGAGGAGAGAAUCCUAAGGCCGGCGGGAGAAGCAUUGUUAAGGAACUCGGCAAAAUGACCCUGUAACUUCGGGAGAAAGGGUGCCUGGGAAACCAGGCCGCAGAGAAUAGGCUCAAGCAACUGUUUAGCAAAAACACAGGUCUAUGCGAAACCGAAAGGUGAGGUAUAUGGGCUGACGCCUGCCCGGUGCUGGAAGGUUAAGAGGAGAGGUUAGCGGUAACGCGAAGCUUUGAAUUUAAGCCCCAGUAAACGGCGGCCGUAACUAUAACGGUCCUAAGGUAGCGAAAUUCCUUGUCGGGUAAGUUCCGACCUGCACGAAUGGCGUA